CUGGAAAGGAGCUGCUGUUGGAGAUCAAUUAACUACUUGGAAACUGCAGCCGUCCCCCACAGGCAGGAAAAUAUUAUUCCAGUCCUACUGCUCAGGCAAAACCUUUGCCAUGCCAAAGGCAGGGUGAAGAGAUAAACGGAAAGAGGUAUUUUGCUUGGAUGGAUAGAUUGGUGCCGUUCAAUGCAACUGUCUGAGCAUCGGCCUUGUGAACCGGUUCGUAGUGUCACUGCAAACUGGGCCAAAUCCAUCCCCGAUCCAGCUCCAGUGAAAUGAAUGGACCACAUUCUCAGCUGGUGUGAAAUGACACGAAAAGUCAGUGAACUGUGCUCGUUUAUCCCAGCCAAGGACCUGGCCGAUAGGCGUCCACGACUGAUGUGGCUGAAAUGUCCAAUUAAG
This 396-nucleotide long non-coding RNA is filed under the name Gallus gallus (chicken). The record is from RNAcentral. Lineage: Eukaryota; Metazoa; Chordata; Aves; Galliformes; Phasianidae.